This 127-nucleotide small RNA is filed under the name Marmota monax (woodchuck). The record is from RNAcentral. Lineage: Eukaryota; Metazoa; Chordata; Mammalia; Rodentia; Sciuridae.
GCUGGGCAUGGUGGCGCAAGCCUAUAAUCCCAGCUGCUUCAGAGGCUCAGGCGGGAGGAUCAUGGGUGCAAAGCCAGCCCCAGCAAUUUAUCAAGGCCCUAAGCAACUCAGUGAGACCCUGUCUCUA